AUGGCCACCAGCAGCCCGCAGCUCGUGAUGCUCGUGUCGUGUUUAGCCGCCCUUGCCGUCGCCGCCGGCGCCGGGGAAGUGGAUGGUAGGCCAAAGGCCCGCGGGUUUGUGACGGUGAGCGGGGCGCGGUUCAUGGCGGGCGGGCGGCGGUUCUACGCCGACGGGUUCAACGCGUACUGGCUCAUGUACAUGGCGUCGAACCCCGCGGACCGGAGCAAGGUGGUGGACGUGCUGGAGCAGGCGUCCCGCCUCGGCGCGACGGUCGUCAGGACCUGGGCCUUCAGUGACGGCCAGGGCAGCGACCGGCCGCUGCAGAUCACCCCCGGCGUGUACAAUGAGCAAGUGUUCGUGGGACUAGACUUCGUAAUAGCGGAAGCGAAGAAACGAGGGAUCUACUUGAUCCUGAGCUUGGUGAACAACAUGGACAGCUUUGGCGGGAAGAAGCAGUACGUGAAGUGGGCGCGAGACCGGGGCCACUACCUUGGGUCCAACGACGACUUCUUCUCUGACGCGCUCACCCAACAGUUCUACAAGAACCACAUUAAGAGGAUGAUCACGCGAGUAAACACCUUCACGAGGGUGGCGUACAAGGACGAGCCGACCAUCUUCGCGUGGGAGCUGAUGAACGAGCCUCGCGUCCCAAGCGACCUCUCCGGAAAGACAAUGGAGCGCUGGGUGGCGUCGAUGUCCGCGUACGUCAAGUACGUCGACCCCAAGCACAUGGUGGAGAUUGGCAUGGAAGGGUUCUACGGCGAGUCCACGCCGGAGCGCAAGCGGUUCAACCCGGGGCAGGGGUACACCGCCGGCACCGACUUCGUCUCCAACAAUCGCAUCCCCACCGUCGACUUCGCCACCAUCCACGUCUACCCCGACCAGUGGAUGCCGGGGUCGAGCAGCCAGGCGCAGGUGGAGUUCACCAAGAGGUGGAUGGCGUCCCACAUCGAGGACGCGGGGAAGGCGCUGCGGAAGCCGCUGCUGGUGGCGGAGUUCGGCUGGUCCGCGCGCUCCGGCGGCUACACGGUGGCGGCGCGGGACGGCUACUUCCGCAUGGUAUACGACGCCAUCUACGCUUCCGUGAAGGGGAACGGGCCGUGCGCCGGGGGGCUCUUCUGGCAUGUCAUGGCGCCCGGGAUGGAGAGCUGGACGGACGGCUAUGACGUCGUGUUCGAGCGCAGCCCCACCACCGCCGCGGUCGUCUCGCAGGAGUGCGCCAAGAUCGACAGAUUCACGCCCGCUGUCUAG
Molecule: ribosomal RNA, 1242 nt
Filed under: Triticum aestivum (bread wheat)
Lineage: Eukaryota; Viridiplantae; Streptophyta; Magnoliopsida; Poales; Poaceae
Description: partial small subunit ribosomal RNA
Source: RNAcentral